CCUACGGGAGGCAGCAGUGAGGAAUAUUGGUCAAUGGGCGUAAGCCUGAACCAGCCAAGUCGCGUGAGGGAUGAAGGUUCUAUGGAUCGUAAACCUCUUUUAUAAGGGAAUAAAGUGCGGGACGUGUCCCGCUUUGUAUGUACCUUAUGAAUAAGGUUCGGCUAACUCCGUGCCAGCAGCCGCGGUAAUACGGAGGAUCCGAGCGUUAUCCGGAUUUGUUGGGUUUAAAGGGUGCGUAGGCGGCCUUUUAAGUCAGCGGUGAAAGUCUGUGGCUCAACCAUAGAAUUGCCGUUGAAACUGGGAGGCUUGAGUAUGUGUGAGGGAGGCGGAAUGCGUGGUGUAGCGGUGAAAUGCUUAGAUAUCACGCAGAACCCCGAUGGCGAAGGCAGCCUGCCAGGCCAUGACUGACGCUGAGGCACGAAAGCGUGGGGAUCAAACAGGAUUAGAUACCCCUGUAGUC
Molecule: ribosomal RNA, 460 nt
Filed under: uncultured bacterium
Lineage: Bacteria
Description: partial 16S ribosomal RNA
Rfam family: Bacterial small subunit ribosomal RNA
Source: RNAcentral